UCUAUUUUGAUCACUACUGUAGUGUUUAUAUCUGAACUAUAAACUUUUAUAUACUUCUGUGAUAUUUUUAAUUAUUGUAAGACAGAAAUAAUGAUCCGCUUACCUGAAACCCUCCGUAACUGGCAGAUUUAAAGAAAAUUACCGUUGUUUGGUAAAUAAAUAAAUGAUGGACCGUUACAUAUGUAUUACCAACAUUUUAUCGUGAUCAUAUGGUACACAUCAAAUAAAGGAAUUUAUAGUUAAUAUUAAUUAGCAAGUCCACAGACUCAUUCUCUCCAAUGGCUUGGGUAUACAAAGCGUUCACAGCUUAUAUGGACAGCAUGUCCUGUCUUAUUUACAUUAAACGUGAAGAUAUAUAUUCACAAAUAUUCUGCCUGUUUUCAUGUGUGUGAUUGUCAGCUUCUGCUUUUCCGCUACACAUGAAGCUGCCUUGUGAGUGUAUAACGCACCGUGCCAUUACUUUCAUUUUCAAAUCCUGUAAUAUUCCCAAUGCAGAAGGGUCUUUCAGCUCCCUGGACUUCACACUCAGGGCUCAUUACGAGUCCAGUAGAAACACCGACCAAACAUCCCAUCAACCUCAGCACUUGCCUCAAGGUCAGGUCAGGGACACUUCUCUUUCACAAGGCCAGCGUCAUCUGAAUCUGAGCUCAAAACACCAGGCCCGUGCAAGCUGAACUUGGACGAGAGCAAUAAACAGUGCAGAAGUACAAGAUGGAAAGCCAGUUCCCAAAAGUGUUGUAGUGGUAAGGUUUUCUGAAGCUGAGGCCAGAAACUUCAAGCUGACCUAAGGACUACAGAAUCCCCUGUCUUGCUGGAUUCAAACUGGAAUGAAAUAAUGGAUUCUGAAGGAACACACUCUGGACUCUGCAGUGUUGUAUAGGAUGGACAGGUCAGGAAACUGCUGAUAAAGGAUUGCUCUGCAUAUUCAGUCCUCUUCUGUUAAGAAUGGGUAGAUGCCAAAUGUUGAUGUUGUGGUCAGUUAGGAUUCCAAAAUCUGAUUGCUAAUAAUUUCAGGAAUUCCUGGAAUUCUGUGGGUGUUCCAUGAGUCCACUAUUCUUCUCAAACACAAAUCUGGAUCAGACACACAGUAGCGAAUGGUGGUGUCCUCCAUGACUAUCAUUUCCUGGUCAGUCAGCUGAAUCAAUGCCUUCUAGAGAUUAAUUCAUGACAAGAAACAAUAGAAUCCUCUGAAUUAUACACCAUUUAUUUCUAAUGGGAUAACUGAGUGCAACUGCCAUGCAACUGAUAUAGGGAUCAGAGAAUCAGUGAGCGAGUGAGAGAUUUCAAACACAGAAACAGUCAACAAUGAGAGUGGAUUCCUGUGCUGGAGUCGAGCCCAACUCUAUGACUAUUCAGAGUCCAGGAAUCUACUCUUUUGUAGUCGACUCCUCAUCACUAUCUGACUAGUACAGAUACUUCAAGUGUGUUCAUUCCAGACUGCUUCACAUCAACAUCCCAUAAAACCUUGAAACUGUGAUAUUCCUCCGAUCUCUUAUUCAUGAAGACAAACAUGCCACAUUCUGUGAAACCCACAAUCAGAAGAUUAAACUACAGUAACAAGGAAAUAA
Molecule: long non-coding RNA, 1568 nt
Organism: Ctenopharyngodon idella (grass carp)
Lineage: Eukaryota; Metazoa; Chordata; Actinopteri; Cypriniformes; Xenocyprididae
Exons: 2
Source: RefSeq, a predicted model, not a curated record